GUAGUCAUAUGCUUGUCUCAAAGAUUAAGCCAUGCAUGUCUAAGUAUAAGCAACUUGUACUGUGAAACUGCGAAUGGCUCAUUAAAUCAGUUAUCGUUUAUUUGAUAGUACCUUACUACAUGGAUACCUGUGGUAAUUCUAGAGCUAAUACAUGCUAAAAACCCCGACUUCAGGAAGGGGUGUAUUUAUUAGAUAAAAAACCAACGCCCUUCGGGGCUCCUUGGUGAAUCAUAAUAACUUAACGAAUCGCAUGGCCUUGCGCCGGCGAUGGUUCAUUCAAAUUUCUGUCCUAUCAACUUUCGAUGGUAGGAUAGUGGCCUACCAUGGUGGCAACGGGUAACGGGGAAUUAGGGUUCGAUUCCGGAGAGGGAGCCUGAGAAACGGCUACCACAUCCAAGGAAGGCAGCAGGCGCGCAAAUUACCCAAUCCCGAUACGGGGAGGUAGUGACAAUAAAUACUGAUACGGGGCUCUUUUGGGUCUCGUAAUUGGAAUGAGAACAAUUUAAAUCCCUUAACGAGG
RNAcentral lists this ribosomal RNA (520 nucleotides) under uncultured fungus. RNAcentral's name for it is "SSU rRNA". It matches the Rfam family "Eukaryotic small subunit ribosomal RNA", at positions 20 to 542 of the family's 1831-position model. The record is from RNAcentral. Lineage: Eukaryota; Fungi.